AGUCAAGCAACUAAGCGCAUACGGUGGAUGCCUUGGCAGUCAGAGGCGAUGAAAGACGUGGAAGCCUGCGAUAAGGCUCGGGGAGCUGGCAAACAAGCUGUGAUCCGGGCAUCUCUGAAUGGGGAAACCCACCGGUCUUCGGACCGGUACCGUACAGUGAAUACAUAGCUGUACGGGGCGAACUCGGGGAACUGAAACAUCUAAGUACCCGAAGGAAAAGAAAUCAACCGAGAUUCCCUCAGUAGCGGCGAGCGAACGGGGACCAGCCCUUAAGCUGGACAACUGGUAGGAGAAGGCCCUGGAAAGAGCCGCCAUAGUGGGUGAUAGCCCCGUAUCCGAAACCUGAGUCCAGUGAAAUCGAGUAGGACGGGACACGAGACAUCCUGUCUGAACAUGGGGGGACCAUCCUCCAAGGCUAAAUACUCCUGACUGACCGAUAGUGAACCAGUACCGUGAGGGAAAGGCGAAAAGAACCCCUGUGAGGGGAGUGAAAUAGAUCCUGAAACCGUAUGCGUACAAGCAGUCGGAGCGGACUUGUUCCGUGACGGCGUACCUUUUGUAUAAUGGGUCAGCGACUUAUGUUCAGUGGCGAGGUUAACCGUUUAGGGGAGCCGUAGGGAAACCGAGUCUGAAUAGGGCGAUUUAGUCGCUGGGCAUAGACCCGAAACCGGGCGAUCUAUCCAUGAGCAGGUUGAAGGUUGAGUAACAUCAACUGGAGGACCGAACCCACUGUCGUUGAAAAGCCAGGGGAUGACUUGUGGAUCGGAGUGAAAGGCUAAUCAAGCCCGGAGAUAGCUGGUUCUCCCCGAAAGCUAUUUAGGUAGCGCCUCGGACGAAUACCACAGGGGGUAGAGCACUGUUUCGGCUAGGGGGUCAUCCCGACUUACCAACCCGAUGCAAACUCCGAAUACCUGUGAGUACUAUCCGGGAGACACACGGUGGGUGCUAACGUCCAUCGUGAAGAGGGAAACAACCCAGACCGCCAGCUAAGGUCCCCAAAUACCAGUUAAGUGGGAAACGAUGUGGGAAGGCUCAGACAGCUAGGAGGUUGGCUUAGAAGCAGCCAUCCUUUAAAGAAAGCGUAAUAGCUCACUAGUCGAGUCGGCCUGCGCGGAAGAUGUAACGGGGCUCAAACUGGUUACCGAAGCUGCGGCUG
This 1156-nucleotide ribosomal RNA is filed under the name Marinobacter salarius. RNAcentral's name for it is "partial 23S ribosomal RNA". It matches the Rfam family "Bacterial large subunit ribosomal RNA", at positions 1 to 1208 of the family's 2925-position model. Lineage: Bacteria; Pseudomonadati; Pseudomonadota; Gammaproteobacteria; Pseudomonadales; Marinobacteraceae. The record is from RNAcentral.